Molecule: RNA transcript, 1313 nt
Organism: Panicum virgatum (switchgrass)
Lineage: Eukaryota; Viridiplantae; Streptophyta; Magnoliopsida; Poales; Poaceae
Gene name: N-alpha-acetyltransferase 40-like
Exons: 6
Source: RefSeq, a predicted model, not a curated record
AUAAGGAAAGCUAUAUCUGUGAAGGACCAUCUAGUGCAAUUCCCUGCCUUCCAUAAAUUUCAAAGAAAUGGUAACUACAUUGUUCUCUUUGGAACUGUAGAAGUGCCAAUGUCACGGUAUGACUUGGUACACCUAUCUGUUUCAGUUAUGCUCUGUUGUCCGGGGGGCAAGAUAUCAAGCUCAUUUUCCUGGAUCUAUCCUGAUCUAUAGGCCUUUCAGUCUGCUUGGAGUCUGGAUGUGGGGAUAAACUUACACUACCAAUGAGGAAGUACAUCCAAAAUCUUCUAAAGGUUAACAUGGAGGAACCCUAUGGACCAGAAUGGCCUUCAGAAGAGAAAAUUAAGCGCCAAGAAAUGGUGGCCCCAGAAGCGCGAUAUAUCUUUAUCAAGCAAUAUUCAAAUGGGUUCACUACUGAAUGUUCCAUGAAUCAAGGUGCAGGGGUGGAACAUAACCACACAUCAUGUAAUGAAGGUCGCUUGGUUGGUUUUGUACACUAUAGGUUUGUUUUGGAAGAGGACCUGCCUGUUGUUUAUGUAUAUGAGCUACAAAUGGAGCCUUCUGCCCAGGGUAAGGGGCUGGGAAAGUUUAUGAUGCAGUUAAUUGAACAGAUAGCUUGCAAGGUAGUAUACUAAUAUGGUCAAUUCGUAGUCCUAGCUAUUUAUUGUUCCAAUUUUCUUAAUAUUAAUAUAUUAUUCAUGAUACCAAACUAUUUUUAUGUCAGUAUUGCCAGUUGCAUGUUUUAGUUCAAUAGCUGUCCUGACUCCUGACAUUCCACCACAUGUACGCAGAACCAAAUGGGAGCUGUGAUGCUAACGGUUCAGAAAGCUAAUACUCAAGCUAUGGCUUUCUAUACUAAGUUGCGAUAUGUAAUAUCUAGUACCUCACCAUCACGAGUGGAUCCUCAGAUAGGAAUUGAAAAAAGCUACGGGAUAUUAUGCAAGACAUUUGACUCUCAAACUAAGUCUAAAUUAGAGGAUGGCGAUGAAGAACUCUGAAGUCAAAAGUCUCAGGAUGGGCGUGAUGGCCACAAUCCCCAUUCCCCAUAGCAUGACCUGUAGGCUGUAGCUAAGCCACAAGUUUACAUGACACAUUGUCAUGCGGCCCUGUUAGUGCAAUUAAAAUUCACAGUGUGGCACUGGCACGCUUGGCCGAGAUCACAAUUUUCAUCCUAUAUGUCGGCAUCUUCUGCUUAGCAAAUUGAGCCCAGCUGUUAACAACUCUGCUCAACUCGCUGUAAACUUGUAAUAGUUACGAUGGAUCAUUUGAUGUGUGAGUAUGUCAUAUUUCUUCUAAAAAACCAUUUUUACAUGUCC